This 915-nucleotide ribosomal RNA is filed under the name uncultured bacterium. RNAcentral describes it as "bacterial SSU rRNA". It matches the Rfam family "Bacterial small subunit ribosomal RNA", at positions 547 to 1462 of the family's 1533-position model. The record is from RNAcentral.
GNAUUUAUUGGGCGUAAAGCGAGCGCAGGCGGUUAGAUAAGUCUGAAGUUAAAGGCUGUGGCUUANCCAUAGUACGCUUUGGAAACUGUUUAACUUGAGUGCAGAAGGGGAGAGUGGAAUUCCAUGUGUAGCGGUGAAAUGCGUAGAUAUAUGGAGGAACACCGGUGGCGAAAGCGGCUCUCUGGUCUGUAACUGACGCUGAGGCUCGAAAGCGUGGGGAGCGAACAGGAUUAGAUACCCUGGUAGUNCACGCCGUAAACGAUGAGUGCUAGGUGUUAGGCCCUUUCCGGGGCUUAGUGCCGCAGCUAACGCAUUAAGCACUCCGCCUGGGGAGUACGACCGCAAGGUUGAAACUCAAAGGAAUUGACGGGGGCCCGCACAAGCGGUGGAGCAUGUGGUUUAAUUCGGAGCAACGCGAAGAACCUUACCAGGUCUUGACAUCCCGAUGCCCGCUCUAGAGAUAGAGUUUUACUUCGGUAUAUCGGUGACAGGUGGUGCAUGGUUGUCGUCAGCUCGUGUCGUGAGAUGUUGGGUUAAGUCCCGCAACGAGCGCAACCCUUAUUGUUAGUUGCCAUCAUUCAGUUGGGCACUCUAGCGAGACUGCCGGUAAUAAACCGGAGGAAGGUGGGGAUGACGUCAAAUCAUCAUGCCCCUUAUGACCUGGGCUACACACGUGCUACAAUGGCUGGUACAACGAGUCGCAAGUCGGUGACGGCAAGCUAAUCUCUUAAAGCCAGUCUCAGUUCGGAUUGUAGGCUGCAACUCGCCUACAUGAAGUCGGAAUCGCUAGUAAUCGCGGAUCAGGACGCCGCGGUGAAUACGUUCCCGGGCCUUGUACACACCGCCCGUCACACCACGAGAGUUUGUAACACCCGAAGUCGGUGAGGUAACCUUUUAGGAGCCAGCCGCCUAAGG